AUAAACUAGCUUGGUCUCCUUCUUCCCCUACUCCUUGUAAUCCUGUUCCUGUUUCUUGUAAUACUAGUAAUAAACAAGUUGUUUCUGUGCCUUCUUGUAAAGAUGAUCUUUUAUCUGAAAACAAGACUGUUUCUAUGCAUUCUCAUGUUAAUAGUUCUACUUGUAAUGAUGAUUUUAAUUCUGAUAUGAAUUACACUUGGCACUUAAGACUUGCACACAUU
RNAcentral lists this long non-coding RNA (221 nucleotides) under Nicotiana benthamiana. Its description in RNAcentral is "long non-coding RNA (NBEN_LNC000648)". The record is from RNAcentral. Lineage: Eukaryota; Viridiplantae; Streptophyta; Magnoliopsida; Solanales; Solanaceae.